AUUGAACGCUGGCGGCAUGCUUUACACAUGCAAGUCGAACGGUAACAGGCCGCAAGGUGCUGACGAGUGGCGAACGGGUGAGUAAUGCAUCGGAACGUGCCCAGUCGUGGGGGAUAACUACUCGAAAGAGUAGCUAAUACCGCAUACGAUCUAUGGAUGAAAGCGGGGGACCGUAAGGCCUCGCGCGAUUGGAGCGGCCGAUGUCAGAUUAGGUAGUUGGUGGGGUAAAGGCUCACCAAGCCUACGAUCUGUAGCUGGUCUGAGAGGACGACCAGCCACACUGGGACUGAGACACGGCCCAGACUCCUACGGGAGGCAGCAGUGGGGAAUUUUGGACAAUGGGCGCAAGCCUGAUCCAGCAAUGCCGCGUGCAGGAAGAAGGCCUUCGGGUUGUAAACUGCUUUUGUACGGAACGAAACGGCUCUGGUUAAUACCCGGGGCUAAUGACGGUACCGUAAGAAUAAGCACCGGCUAACUACGUG
RNAcentral lists this ribosomal RNA (482 nucleotides) under uncultured bacterium. RNAcentral describes it as "partial 16S ribosomal RNA". It matches the Rfam family "Bacterial small subunit ribosomal RNA", at positions 30 to 507 of the family's 1533-position model. The record is from RNAcentral.